UGCGCCCGCCUUAGGGUACCCCCUGUUCAAGUGGGGGAUUAGUAGGCGAUGCAGGAUGAGCCCGCGGCCUAUCAGCUUGUUGGUGAGGUAACGGCUCACCAAGGCGACGACGGGUAGCCGGCCUGAGAGGGCGACCGGCCACACUGGGACUGAGACACGGCCCAGACUCCUACGGGAGGCAGCAGUGGGGAAUAUUGCACAAUGGGCGAAAGCCUGAUGCAGCGACGCCGCGUGAGGGAUGACGGCCUUCGGGUUGUAAACCUCUUUCAGCAGGGAAGAAGCGAAAGUGACGGUACCUGCAGAAGAAGCGCCGGCUAACUACGUGCCAGCAGCCGCGGUAAUACGUAGGGCGCAAGCGUUGUCCGGAAUUAUUGGGCGUAAAGAGCUCGUAGGCGGCUUGUCACGUCGGUUGUGAAAGCCCGGGGCUUAACCCCGGGUCUGCAGUCGAUACGGGCAGGCUAGAGUUCGGUAGGGGAGAUCGGAAUUCCUGGUGUAGCGGUGAAAUGCGCAAAUAUCAAGAAGGAACACCGGUGGCGAAGGGCGGAUCUCUGGGCCGAUACUGACGCU
RNAcentral lists this ribosomal RNA (567 nucleotides) under Streptomyces minutiscleroticus. Its description in RNAcentral is "bacterial SSU rRNA". It matches the Rfam family "Bacterial small subunit ribosomal RNA", at positions 161 to 747 of the family's 1533-position model. Lineage: Bacteria; Bacillati; Actinomycetota; Actinomycetes; Kitasatosporales; Streptomycetaceae. The record is from RNAcentral.